UGGGGAAUAUUGGACAAUGGGCGAAAGCCUGAUCCAGCAAUGCCGCGUGAGUGAAGAAGGCCUUCGGGUUGUAAAGCUCUUUUACCCGGGAAGAUAAUGACUGUACCGGGAGAAUAAGCCCCGGCUAACUCCGUGCCAGCAGCCGCGGUAAUACGGAGGGGGCUAGCGUUGUUCGGAAUUACUGGGCGUAAAGCGUACGUAGGCGGCUUUUUAAGUCAGAGGUGAAAUCCCGGUGCUCAACACCGGAACUGCCUUUGAGACUGGAUCGCUUGAACGUCGGAGAGGUGAGUGGAAUUCCGAGUGUAGAGGUGAAAUUCGUAGAUAUUCGGAAGAACACCAGUGGCGAAGGCGGCUCACUGGACGACUGUUGACGCUGAGGUACGAAAGCGUGGGGAGCAAACA
This 402-nucleotide ribosomal RNA is filed under the name uncultured Alphaproteobacteria bacterium. RNAcentral describes it as "bacterial SSU rRNA". It matches the Rfam family "Bacterial small subunit ribosomal RNA", at positions 355 to 774 of the family's 1533-position model. The record is from RNAcentral. Lineage: Bacteria; Pseudomonadati; Pseudomonadota; Alphaproteobacteria.